This 303-nucleotide ribosomal RNA is filed under the name uncultured bacterium. RNAcentral's name for it is "partial 16S ribosomal RNA". It matches the Rfam family "Bacterial small subunit ribosomal RNA", at positions 507 to 807 of the family's 1533-position model. The record is from RNAcentral.
AGCAGUCGCCGCGGUAAUACAGAGGGUGCGAGCGUUAAUCGGAUUUACUGGGCGUAAAGCGUGCGUAGGCGGCUUCUUAAGUCGGAUGUGAAAUCCCUGAGCUUAACUUAGGAAUUGCAUUUGAUACUGGGAAGCUAGAGUAUGGGAGAGGAUGGUAGAAUUCCAGGUGUAGCGGUGAAAUGCGUAGAGAUCUGGAGGAAUACCGAUGGCGAAGGCAGCCAUCUGGCCUAAUACUGACGCUGAGGUACGAAAGCAUGGGGAGCAAACAGGAUUAGAUACCCCCGUAGUCCCUGUCUCUUAUAC